AGUGAACGCUGGCGGCAGGCCUAACACAUGCAAGUCGAGCGGCAGCGGGUCCUUCGGGAUGCCGGCGAGCGGCGGACGGGUGAGGAAUACAUCGGAAUCUGCCCUGUCGUGGGGGAUAACCUAGGGAAACUUAGGCUAAUACCGCAUACGACCUACGGGUGAAAGCGGGGGAUCGCAAGACCUCGCGCGGCAGGAUGAGCCGAUGUCCGAUUAGCUAGUUGGCGGGGUAAAGGCCCACCAAGGCGACGAUCGGUAGCUGGUCUGAGAGGAUGAUCAGCCACACUGGGACUGAGACACGGCCCAGACUCCUACGGGAGGCAGCAGUGGGGAAUAUUGGACAAUGGGCGCAAGCCUGAUCCAGCCAUGCCGCGUGGGUGAAGAAGGCCUUCGGGUUGUAAAGCCCUUUUGUCCGGGAAGAAAUCGUCUGGGCUAAUACCCCGGGCGGAUGACGGUACCGGAAGAAUAAGCACCGGCUAACUUCGUG
RNAcentral lists this ribosomal RNA (484 nucleotides) under uncultured bacterium. RNAcentral's name for it is "partial 16S ribosomal RNA". It matches the Rfam family "Bacterial small subunit ribosomal RNA", at positions 30 to 507 of the family's 1533-position model. The record is from RNAcentral.